Non-coding RNA from Triticum aestivum (bread wheat), 125 nucleotides. NCBI's taxonomy places the organism in Eukaryota, Viridiplantae, Streptophyta, Magnoliopsida, Poales, Poaceae. The record is from Rfam.
UAUGUACUCCCUCCGUCCGAAAAUACUUGUCGAAGAAAUGCAUAAAAAUGAAUGUAUCUAGAACUAGAAUACAACUAGAUACAUCCAUUCCUCCGACGAGUAUUUCCGGACGGAGGGAGUAUUUA